UAAUAUGAUGUACAAACAGUACCCGAGAAUAAAACAACCAUUGUUCAUUCAGAAAUAUCAACACGAGUAAUUAUUUUCCAGAAAUUGAAAACACCACAAACUUCAUCAAGUUCAUGACCCGAAGCCAAAUAGGAAUAUAUGUCACUCUGAUUGCUUGCAAAUAUAUAGCUUGCUAUUACUAGCAUACCCCCAAAAAAGUCGCGCUUGUCCGUAUCAUAAAGUUUGUCGUUAUCGUGAGGACAAGUUAGUGCAAAGAAAUGUGCACCGUGUCGCGUAAGUGCAGUUGCAGUGUCGAUCUCAGCUGUUUCUAACAGUUGGUGGUCAUCGGACAGCGAGCGACCACAUGACUACCUAAACAAACACUGACUGUGGUAUUUGUAAAUGAAUACUGGUUGUUUCUAUUCUCGUGGAAGUUUAAAAAUAACAAGCAAACUCAACUGAAAAGGUCAAUUUCGUUCUCGCUUGUGCAAUUUUACGGUCAAAAAGAUCAACUAAACUGAACAAUUCAGAACGAGGCUUCCAAAACUCAAAGCAUUCCGUGUACAUGAUAAAAUAAUACCAUGCAGACUCCUACUGAUCAGUGUACGGAGCUUUUCCCUGUUGUCGGCAACAUCGCGAGUUCAGUUUUCGAUCACAAAUCAGUGGCCGUGGGAUUGCGUUUGUUGUUAUUUGAAAGGGAUUGAUAAUGGCAUAAUCGCUUUUUUAUUUGUGCAUACCGCGGGGGAGUAAUGGUUAGAACGAAGGGAACGUAUUGGAUUAGAUUGGGUGGAGUUUACAGUAUUGUGGAAGCAUAUUUGUUUACAUCACAUCACAGCCAGAAAGUUACCAAGGCACACAGAGAGACCGUGGAUACAGUUGAAGAUCAUCCCUGUGAUAAGUUCUUCUGACAUCUGAGGAUUGAAAAGGCUCCUCAACCACUCAGCCCAAGUUCUGAUUUGUCAUGUAACAAAUAAAUAAAGGUCACCGAAACCAGAAUUCUAUUGUCAUUUUGUUGCUGUUAUCAUAUUUUUUAAUAGAUCAAGUAUAUUGAUCAUAGGACAUCCGAUGCAUGGACGAUUUUGCUUGUCUCAGUGUUGCCCUAAUGCUGAAUGUAUGGGGUAAGGCCAAGAAAAAUUAAACGUUUCAAUUUGUGGCAGGCUUAUUGUCUGAUGGUUUUUAAUUUGCAAACUUGUGUGAAAAUCAUUUAU
This is a long non-coding RNA of Haliotis rufescens (red abalone), 1187 nucleotides long. RefSeq lists it as uncharacterized. Lineage: Eukaryota; Metazoa; Mollusca; Gastropoda; Lepetellida; Haliotidae. The transcript has 3 exons. The record is from RefSeq and is a predicted model, not a curated record.